CAUCAUUUGGAGAGGUCCUGAGAUGGGAAAAUAUUUUGCUUUAUUUCCAGAGCAAAAUUAAGCCUUCUAGAAAAGUAGUCUAUGGGUGAUGUUCCCUCUCUUUAAAGUCCUGUUCACUUUGCUGGUAUUGGGGAUACCCCUUGAGCAAGGUGUGGGAGAGAAAAGGUAGACAAGCAGAUGGGAAGGGAACUAAAAUGGAAUUACCACAUGCUGAGCACGUGGAUGGUGCUUUUUCUCAUUAACUCUGAUGUUGGGUUGUGUCCCAUUUACUCAAGAAGCUCAGACAGGGAGAGUGGUCUCAGCCCUAAUCAGACUCGGCCCCCCUUUUUGUAAAAAAAUGCUUUGUAAUGAUUCGAGUAUUCUGAAGUGAAAUCCAUUUUCUACAUUAUUUUUUUAAAAAUCAAGAUGAAGCCUUAACUGUAAUAUAAAAAAUAAAGGGGAAGCAGAUUAUAAAAUAGUCUAUAUUUUUCUGUGCGAAAGUGUUAGAUAUGACUGCCCGAAGACGUAAUAAGAGAGAGGGAAAUAAGCUUCAUCGAAGAAGGAAUAGCACGGCCGGACAAACAGACUGCUGAAUUGGAGAAAUGAGGAAGUGCAGUAUUCCCACAAAUGAGCUGGGCCUUAAAACUGAUGUCAAAAAUAACUCGUCAGUGUGGGGCAGAGGGAAGUAAAUGGUGAGGUAGCUGUCCCGUGGAGCUGUGAUGGGGGUUUAAGUGAAUUAAUACAGGAAAUGUGCUCAAAACAGUUCCGGGAACUUAAACACUGUCUAGGUAUUAAGUAGUAUAUAGCCUUUGUUAGAAGCGGCAUAAGUGGAUUAGGAAAAAUUGCGUAGUCUGAAUGCACGGGGUAAUUAUUCAGUUAUUUGUAGACAGUGUCUUUUUUCCAUUCAUUUGUUCUCUCUUUCCAUUUAUUCAUUCAAUGGGCUUAUGGAAGCACUUUAAAUGGUUUAUACCUCUAGUUGGUUCAGUUCUGUGGGCACGGGCAAUUCUUUGUGUGCCAGACGUUUAAUCUCUCAAACUCCUUCCCCUAAAGCCAGUUAUGCUCCCUGGACAGUGUGACAGCCAUCAAAAAAAAAAAAAACAAAACCAAUUUCCCAACCAACCACUGGGAGGCAGUACUGCUUCAUUGAGAAUACUGGACCAGAUUCUUUGCCCGAGGUCACACACCUGUCUCUUAGUAGAAUUGAGUCUCCAGGGACUCCAAAGUCUUUUCCUCUAAGACAAUAACAAAGAUGAUACUAAAGACAGCAGUGAUGAUAAUUAGCGUUUCUUAAACUGUGCCAGCACUUUGCGGAGUGUUUAGUGCUUAUGCAUACCACCAGCUCACUUAAGUCUCACCGCUUGAGGGAGGUUCUGGUACCUCAUUUUGCAGGUGAAGAAACAGGCUUAAGUCCAAGACUCACGACAAGGGUUUCGUGUAGAAGAGGGAGGUUGUGAGCUAAGAGUCGUAGGAGGGGGCUGGGAUAGAAAGCUGGCUACAGAAGGCAAGCUGUGUGCGUAAAAGUGAAGGCAGGAGACUUCAAGGUUUUAUGUGGACAAGUUUAAGACCCUCUGAAUUUGUUCAGGCUUUAGAAUUGAAGAUUAGUAGAAAGUCAGAGCUGGAGGAAAACUUAGAGGUCAUUGGAGAUGGUGGUUUUCAAACUUGAAAAUGAGCCAAACCUUUUUUGGGAAUGAAAUCUUAUAAAAUAUGUAAAAUUUAAAUGAUAUUACUAUAAAAAGUAAAUUCUAGUAGAUAAUAUUGGCUUAUAAAGAC
This 1749-nucleotide long non-coding RNA is filed under the name Equus caballus (horse). RNAcentral describes it as "lncRNA (ENSECAG00000056951.1)". The record is from RNAcentral. Lineage: Eukaryota; Metazoa; Chordata; Mammalia; Perissodactyla; Equidae.